GAGGGUACAGCUUGGUGGUAGAGUGCAUGCUUGGCAUGCACAAGGCCCUGGGUUCAAUUCCCAGUACCUCCG
This 72-nucleotide transfer RNA is filed under the name Camelus bactrianus (Bactrian camel). It matches the Rfam family "tRNA". Rfam says of the family: Transfer RNA (tRNA) molecules are approximately 80 nucleotides in length. Their secondary structure includes four short double-helical elements and three loops (D, anti-codon, and T loops). Further hydrogen bonds mediate the characteristic L-shaped molecular structure. tRNAs have two regions of fundamental functional importance: the anti-codon, which is responsible for specific mRNA codon recognition, and the 3' end, to which the tRNAs corresponding amino acid is attached (by aminoacyl-tRNA synthetases). tRNAs cope with the degeneracy of the genetic code in two manners: having more than one tRNA (with a specific anti-codon) for a particular amino acid; and 'wobble' base-pairing, i.e. permitting non-standard base-pairing at the 3rd anti-codon position. RNAcentral also lists the same sequence under 1 other name. The record is from Rfam by way of RNAcentral. Lineage: Eukaryota; Metazoa; Chordata; Mammalia; Artiodactyla; Camelidae.